Molecule: ribosomal RNA, 590 nt
Filed under: uncultured bacterium
Lineage: Bacteria
Description: bacterial SSU rRNA
Rfam family: Bacterial small subunit ribosomal RNA
Source: RNAcentral
CCUACGGGAGGCAGCAGUGGGGAAUAUUGGACAAUGGGCGAAAGCCUGAUCCAGCAAUGCCGCGUGAGUGAUGAAGGCCUUCGGGUCGUAAAGCUCUUUUACCAGGGAUGAUAAUGACAGUACCUGGAGAAUAAGCUCCGGCUAACUCCGUGCCAGCAGCCGCGGUAAUACGGAGGGAGCUAGCGUUGUUCGGAAUUACUGGGCGUAAAGAGUACGUAGGCGGUUAUUCAAGUCAGAGGUGAAAGCCCGGGGCUCAACCCCGGAACUGCCUUUGAAACUAGAUAACUAGAGUCUUGGAGAGGUUAGUGGAAUUCCGAGUGUAGAGGUGAAAUUCGUAGAUAUUCGGAAGAACACCAGUGGCGAAGGCGACUAACUGGACAAGUACUGACGCUGAGGUACGAAAGCGUGGGGAGCAAACAGGAUUAGAUACCCUGGUAGUCCACGCCGUAAACGAUGAUAACUAGUUGUUCGGUCACUUGGUGACUGAGUGACGCAGCUAACGCAUUAAGUUAUCCGCCUGGGGAGUACGGUCGCAAGAUUAAAACUCAAAUGAAUUGACGGNUGAGAGUUGCGAGACGACACGAGGAGAG